Molecule: long non-coding RNA, 353 nt
Organism: Thalassophryne amazonica
Lineage: Eukaryota; Metazoa; Chordata; Actinopteri; Batrachoidiformes; Batrachoididae
Exons: 2
Source: RefSeq, a predicted model, not a curated record
AGUUGUUUGGUAUGCGGCCGCGGCCCCACCGGUUGCAAGUGUAGUCGUUCAUGUAUGGAACGCGGCCGCAGCCCGUGCUUUCUUGACAGUGGUAAAGUAGCUAAAUAACUUUUGAACAAAGUUGCUUUCUACGCUGAAUCUCACUGUUGCACUGCCAAAAGCCAGCUGACAGUAACUGGGAGCGGACAGGAUGCCUGCGGUGUCUAAAGGAGACGGAAUGCGCGGUUUGGCCGUGUUCAUCUCUGACAUCAGGAACUGUAAAAGUAAAGAGGCAGAGAUCAAGAGGGUAAAUAAAGAGCUGGCCAAUAUCCGAUCCAAAUUUAAAGGUAGGUGACAACUUUGGGGAGUUACAG